AAAACACAUUGUUAGAGCUUGGAGUUGAGGCCACACUGGUUGAUGAACUAAAGCUUAGGUAGUGUGUUACACGAGGGGAAAGCUUUUCUGCUAACAUCACAAGGGUCUUUGGCCCAAUGAGUGGUAUUUGAUAGUAAUUCUUGCUACAUAA
Suncus etruscus (white-toothed pygmy shrew) is the source of this 151-nucleotide small nucleolar RNA. The record is from RefSeq and is a predicted model, not a curated record. NCBI's taxonomy places the organism in Eukaryota, Metazoa, Chordata, Mammalia, Eulipotyphla, Soricidae.